GGGGGCGUAUAUGGCUUUCGACGGGGGUAUGUUGUGCUGCAGAAGCGAGUCGAUGGUUUCCUGGACCAGCGUUAAAAAACUGGGAAUUAAAUAUAAACGCAGAAGAUAAUUUUGCAUUAGCAGCUUAGUAUAGCUGCUCGUUCUACCCGAGAGUCCCACGACUUGGGAUAGGGCGUCGACCAGUGGGGAACCGAGCCUUGGAAAGCUUUGACCAAGGAACGGAAAUUAUGAAGCUACUGAAAUCUCAAUCCUGUCAGUAGGAGUGAGAUGGAGGGAAUGUUAAAAUACUGACUGCACUCGGAGAUGCUGUGGCAUUGCUGCUUUCGGACAGGGGUUCGACUCCCCUCGCCUCCACCA
This 357-nucleotide transfer-messenger RNA is filed under the name Clostridium thermopalmarium. It matches the Rfam family "transfer-messenger RNA". Rfam says of the family: Bacterial tmRNA, also known as 10Sa RNA or SsrA, is named for its dual tRNA and mRNA-like properties. Its role is to liberate the mRNA from a stalled ribosome. To accomplish this part of the tmRNA is used as a reading frame that ends in a translation stop signal. RNAcentral also lists the same sequence under 3 other names. The record is from RNAcentral. Lineage: Bacteria; Bacillati; Bacillota; Clostridia; Eubacteriales; Clostridiaceae.